This is a long non-coding RNA of Myripristis murdjan (pinecone soldierfish), 1251 nucleotides long. RefSeq lists it as uncharacterized. Lineage: Eukaryota; Metazoa; Chordata; Actinopteri; Holocentriformes; Holocentridae. The record is from RefSeq and is a predicted model, not a curated record. The transcript has 2 exons.
UUAAGUGAAUUUUGCUCACAGGGUGAAAUAAAAUCUUUCAGGUUGUUCAUCUUGAUAUAUCCAUGGUGAAACCCAGGGGCCCCCCCUCAACUAAUUUUUUUCGCCCAGGGCCCCCAGGCGUCUCAGGACGGCCCUGUGCCUGGAGCCACUGCCGCUUUCAGUGCUGACGCUUCCUGUUACAUGUCAAACAAAAAUUUGUUCUCGGAGUCGAUGACAAAAGAUUGAAAGAGACUUUUUUCACACCGUUGAAUCACCGAGCUCAUCAUCUGAUGUCCAUCUCAACAUUCAUCCAGAGAUAACACACACGUCAGAUAACACACACACACACACACAUCAGAUAACACACACACACACGAGUUUCUUGUCGGUGCACCUACCUUAUGUCUCCAACUGGAAUAUGAAAAACCCCAGACUGUGGAAUGAGGUUUAUUUUAUUGAAAACUGUGGUCAGCAUCAUUUCAGUGCCUUGAACAGAUGUUGAGACUUUUAUUCGUUACUGUGUUCAUGAGAUUGGAUCCAUCUUUACAUGUAAUGACUUGUUUCCCCCCGUUAUUGACAAACUGGGCUUGGUUGUAUAUAAUUAGACGCAUUAGAUGCUGUGGUGUAUGUGGUCUCCACUUCCCAUCAUUCCCUUUGCAGUAUUCAGUGUCAGUGCUGUAGAAAUCCAAACACUUGAACAUUUCCUCUGUUCAUGUUAGUUGAUGGUUGAAAGCUAUUUAAUUUCAAAAUUACAACCUUCAAAACUACUCUAAUGGGAUGUACAAGGUGUAUAUGUACAUUAUAUGUAACAGAAAAAACAAUGUUAAUCAUUCCAUGUUGUUCAUGUGAAGUAUUCCUUUUAAUUGACGAGUUGUUUGAUCAUUUUUCUUUAAAUAGCGACCUCACUGGCAAGAUGUCACAGUUUUGUUUAGUCUUGUUUUGUGCUGAAACAUCAGCAGCAGCUCCGGAAGCUGUUUCUCUCUUUUAUGGCUAAACAUUUAACAAACUGACAUCAUGGAGGUCAGCUCAGCUCAAAGCUUCACAUUUAGCUGUCGGAGACAAUCCAAUAAGAACAACAUCGUUUGAGUGGGUAUGAAAUGUCAUUUUAUUUUACGUCUUGCCAAAGAAUCACCGUGUAUAAACCAACGACUGAUUUUUCUAUAAAUGACAUUACCAGAUUGUUCUGUAGAACUGUAAAAGCCAUUUCAAAGGUUCCUCUCAGAUCGUACCUGUAUAAUAUGGCAUAUCAGAAUAAAAGAUUAUUUUCUGACA